This 285-nucleotide unclassified non-coding RNA is filed under the name plant metagenome. RNAcentral describes it as "partial contains small subunit ribosomal RNA, internal transcribed spacer 1, and 5.8S ribosomal RNA". The stretch from base 1 to 54 matches the Rfam family "Eukaryotic small subunit ribosomal RNA", at positions 1778 to 1831 of the family's 1831-position model. The record is from RNAcentral.
GGAAGUAAAAGUCGUAACAGGGAUUCCGUAGGUGAACCUGCGGAAGGAUCAUUAUUGUAUAACCGAGGUGCGAGGGCUGUCGCUGACCCGAAAGGUCGUGCACGCCCGAGUGCCCUCACACACAUCCAUCUCACCCCUAUGUGCACCACCGCGUGGGUCCCCCUUUGGCUUGUUCGGAGGGGGGCUUACGUUUUCACACAAACUUUGUAUGCAGUGUAGAAUGUAUUUUUUGUUUUUGCGAUCACGCAAUCAAUACAACUUUCAACAACGGAUCUCUUGGCUCUC